RNAcentral lists this ribosomal RNA (465 nucleotides) under Vreelandella stevensii. RNAcentral's name for it is "partial 16S ribosomal RNA". It matches the Rfam family "Bacterial small subunit ribosomal RNA", at positions 338 to 795 of the family's 1533-position model. Lineage: Bacteria; Pseudomonadati; Pseudomonadota; Gammaproteobacteria; Oceanospirillales; Halomonadaceae. The record is from RNAcentral.
CCUACGGGGGGCAGCAGUGGGGAAUAUUGGACAAUGGGCGAAAGCCUGAUCCAGCCAUGCCGCGUGUGUGAAGAAGGCCUUCGGGUUGUAAAGCACUUUCAGUGGGGAAGAAAGCCUUGGGGCUAAUACCCUCGAGGAAGGACAUCACCCACAGAAGAAGCACCGGCUAACUCCGUGCCAGCAGCCGCGGUAAUACGGAGGGUGCGAGCGUUAAUCGGAAUUACUGGGCGUAAAGCGUGCGUAGGCGGUCUGAUAAGCCGGUUGUGAAAGCCCCGGGCUCAACCUGGGAACGGCAUCCGGAACUGUCAGGCUAGAGUGCAGGAGAGGAAGGUAGAAUUCCCGGUGUAGCGGUGAAAUGCGUAGAGAGCGGGAGGAAUACCAGUGGCGAAGGCGGCCUUCUGGACUGACACUGACGCUGAGGUGCGAAAGCGUGGGUAGCAAACAGGAUUAGAUACCCGUGUAGUC